Molecule: ribosomal RNA, 505 nt
Filed under: uncultured bacterium
Lineage: Bacteria
Description: partial 16S ribosomal RNA
Rfam family: Bacterial small subunit ribosomal RNA
Source: RNAcentral
AUUGAACGCUGGCGGCAUGCCUAACACAUGCAAGUCGAACGGCAGCAUGGUGCAGUUUACUGUACUGAUGGCGAGUGGCGGACGGGUGAGUAACGCGUAGGAAUACACCUUAGGACUGGGACAACUUGUGGAAACGCGAGCUGAUACCGGAUAAUAUCUGAGGAUAAAAGCUGGGGACCUUAGGGCCUGGCGUCUAGAGAGUAGCCUGCGUCUGAUUAGCUAGUUGGUGGGGUAAGGGCCUACCAAGGCGACGAUCGGUAGCUGGUCUGAGAGGAUGGAAGGCCACACUGGGACUGAGAGACGGCCCAGACUCCUACAGGAGGCAGCAGUUGGGAAUAUUGGACAAUGGGGGGAACCCUGAUCCAGCGAUGCCGCGUGUGUGAAGAAGGCCUGAGGGUUGUAAAGCACUUUAGGUGGGGAGGAGGAUUUAUUGGUUAAGAGCUGAUGAAUUGGACGUUACCCACGGAAUAAGCACCGGCUAACUCCGUGCCAGCAGCCGCCGUAA